Molecule: ribosomal RNA, 303 nt
Filed under: uncultured bacterium
Lineage: Bacteria
Description: partial 16S ribosomal RNA
Rfam family: Bacterial small subunit ribosomal RNA
Source: RNAcentral
AGCAGUCGCCGCGGGAACACGAAGGGGGCUAGCGUUGCUCGGAAUCACUGGGCGUAAAGGGUGCGUAGGCGGGUCUUUAAGUCAGAGGUGAAAUCCUGGAGCUCAACUCCAGAACUGCCUUUGAUACUGAGGAUCUUGAGUUCGGGAGAGGUGAGUGGAACUGCGAGUGUAGAGGUGAAGUUCGUAGAUAUUCGCAAGAACACCAGUGGCGAAGGCGGCUCACUGGCCCGAUACUGACGCUGAGGCACGAAAGCGUGGGGAGCAAACAGGAUUAGAUACCCCGGUAGUCCCUGUCUCUUAUAC